GAUGAACGCUGGCGGCGUGCCUAAUACAUGCAAGUCGAACGCUUCACUUCGGUGAAGAGUGGCGAACGGGUGAGUAAUACAUAAGUAACCUGGCAUCUACAGGGGGAUAACUGAUGGAAACGUCAGCUAAGACCGCAUAGGUGUAGAGAUCGCAUGAACUCUAUAUGAAAAGUGCUACGGGACUGGUAGAUGAUGGACUUAUGGCGCAUUAGCUUGUUGGUAGGGUAACGGCCUACCAAGGCGACGAUGCGUAGCCGACCUGAGAGGGUGACCGGCCACACUGGGACUGAGACACGGCCCAGACUCCUACGGGAGGCAGCAGUAGGGAAUUUUCGGCAAUGGGGGAAACCCUGACCGAGCAACGCCGCGUGAAGGAAGAAGUAAUUCGUUAUGUAAACUUCUGCCAUAGAGGAAGAACGGUGGAUAUAGGGAAUGAUAUCCAAGUGACGGUACUCUAUAAGAAAGCCACGGCUAACUACGUG
RNAcentral lists this ribosomal RNA (482 nucleotides) under uncultured bacterium. RNAcentral's name for it is "partial 16S ribosomal RNA". It matches the Rfam family "Bacterial small subunit ribosomal RNA", at positions 28 to 507 of the family's 1533-position model. The record is from RNAcentral.